This 1001-nucleotide long non-coding RNA is filed under the name Olea europaea subsp. europaea. The record is from RNAcentral. Lineage: Eukaryota; Viridiplantae; Streptophyta; Magnoliopsida; Lamiales; Oleaceae.
CUCACAAAGUCUUAAGAUACGUCAAAAAGGCUCCAGGGCAGGUUUUGCUUUAUCCAUCUCAAACGAACCUACAAUUAACAGGAUAUUGUGAUUCAGAUUGGGAAGCAUGCUAAGAUACAAGGAGAUCGGUUUCUGGUUAUUGUGUAUUUAUUGGAUCUUUAUUGGUAUCUUGGAAAUUUAAAAGGCAGGGGGUUGUGUCUUGAUCUUCUGCAGAAGCAGAAUACUGAGCAACGGAAAAUUUGUGUUUUGAACUAACAUGGAUGAGAUAUUUAUUUAGUGAUUUGCAUCAAACACCGGCAACCAGCAAGGCCGGUCCUGAGGCGAGGCGGUUGAGGCCUGCACCUCAGGCCCAAGACCCAAGGGGGCCUCAUUUCCUUGGGCCCUUUUUUUUUUCUCAAAUCAAUCGAAGGAAGAAACCCCAAGGGGCCUCAUUUUCAUCGCCUCUCACCUCUCCGCUCCACCGGACCGGUGACGGCCAUUGCGGCACUCAUCUUCCAACUUUCUUUCCAACCAUGUCUACCAAAUCCAGGUAAGUGAAUCUCAUCUCAGGUUUUCUUGGGCUUUUUUUGUUUUGUCUAUCUCCCGCUUUUUGGCCUAUUUUUUCUUGUUGAUGGGGUUCGAAUUUUCAAAGUUUUAUGCCUUACUGCCUUAAUUCUUGAAUUUUUAUGUUAUUUCACUCAAUCCCUAACUUUUCAGUAGCAAUUUCGUAAUAUAUCACGGCACUGGAUGUUUUUGUAGAUAUGAUCUAUGGGCUUUGAUUUAUUUUGGGCAGACUAGUUACGAUUUUCUCAUUUUCAUAGGUCUUCACUCUUCUUUAUCUGAGACUCCCAACAAAAAGGCAUCACCAGCUACUCCUCGGGUGAGCAAGCCCAGCAGGGGAAUUUCUAAAUCUGAAGUUGAUUCACCAUCUCCACUACAGCUAAGUUCUCGCUUUUCAGUUGAUCGGUCUCCUAGAUCUGUUCCUUCAAGCCUACGCGGGACCGACGGUCUCCCAAGUUCAC